GGGACCCGGGGUAGAAUAGGUCCCCAGCACCCCCUUGCUGAUCGUAAGAGGCGACAAAUGGGGCAACUCUUUUACCGCCAGCUGCAACCCGUUACUGUUUCUGUUACUAAUGUGUUUGGCUGCGGCUUCUCCAGAUUCUCACAGUGCUUUGUCUCAGACUUCACAUAGAUGGGCAUUGGAAAAGGCCAAUUCCAAACAAUCGGCUAGACAAGUCAAGUUAAUUUCUAUAGCGCUUUUCACAACAGACAUUGUCUCAAAGCAGUUUUGCAGAAUUUAACAACUAAGCCAGAAGUUUUGUUGAUUUAGGCCUGCUUCAUAGUAUUUCUGUUUGUGAAAACCAUCUUUCUUUCAGUCUCCUAAGGACAAGAUUCUCCCUCUAAUGACUGCUUUUAAUGUGUCCCA
Molecule: long non-coding RNA, 402 nt
Organism: Silurus meridionalis
Lineage: Eukaryota; Metazoa; Chordata; Actinopteri; Siluriformes; Siluridae
Exons: 3
Source: RefSeq, a predicted model, not a curated record